AAUUUAUGUUCGGCUUGAAAUGAGCUCGAGAUCGAUCGUUUGUUUAAGAAUUGAGCCGAAUGCAAGUUGAGUUUUCUAGCUCGAAAUCCUAAUGAGCCAAACACGAGAUCUAAUUAGCUCGCUCAUGUUCGGUUCGUUUAUUAAAUGAGUCAACACAAGAGCUAACCCAGCUUGCUCUUGUUGAGCUCAUUGACAUUCUAUUUUAUGAUCUGUUUGAUUUUGCAGAUUUUAAAGAUUGAGCUCCUGAUUUCGAUAAAGUCGUGGGAGACCACCCACAGUCCAACUCACAAUUGUACAGCGUGUUAGGAUUUGGUUAGAUUUAUAGAUUAAUUCUAGUUGAAUUAGAAUUAAUAUUUAAAUCUAUUAGAGAUAAAUUAAUAUUUAAAUAUUAAUUAGAGUAUGAAUUUAACUAAAUUAGAAUAAAUAUUUAAAUCUAUUGGAGAUAAACUAAAUAUAGAUUUAAAUAUUUAUUAGAAUAGAAAUUCUAAAUAUACUAGGAUUGGGAUACAUCUUUGAUUGAGCAUUAUAUAUAAUGCAUUGGGGCUAAUUAAUUAGCUAAGCUUGUGAGGGGAGGAGUACGGCCAAGUUGAGAUUCUUGAGGAGGGUCUACUGAGCUGUCUUAAAGCCAUUGGUGGACCGUACUACAGAGAAGCUUGGCCUGAGUUGUAUGCACCUAAUGCACGAGUACAUGAGAGAGAGAAAAAGAGAGAGUUAGUAUUCUUUGUGGAUUUAUAGAAGACGUGAGAAUGAUAGAAGAGAUUCAAAAAAAGGACUCGAAUUGUAGCUAUUUUGUUGAAGAAGAAAAGUCGGAUGUAAUAUUUUCAUAUUUAAUGAAUCUUAUUUUAUCCGUAUAUUUUUUGUUUGAUUUUUUUUUUUUAUAAUUGUAUCAGCUUCUACUAAGGAGACGGGUUUACAGUAAAAACUCGAUCGACACUUUCGUUGCGGAAUCCCAACAAUCAAUACCGAAUCCAUAGCAGUCGGUAUCGGAACGGGUUGCGGAUUCUCAAAAUUCAGUAUCAAACGAGUAUCGAAUUCCCAACACAGCGUUGCGUUCGGCCUU
This 1060-nucleotide long non-coding RNA is filed under the name Ananas comosus (pineapple). Its description in RNAcentral is "long non-coding RNA (ACOM_LNC020318)". Lineage: Eukaryota; Viridiplantae; Streptophyta; Magnoliopsida; Poales; Bromeliaceae. The record is from RNAcentral.